GCUUGGGGAGGGACUGGUGAAGUACCGACCUGUAGUAGUCUAUGUGGGACUGGAUGCGCGCAUUGUGGUGCAUCUCGGUGACGUACUUCCUACAAGCUGUAGUAGCCGCCCGAUCCGCCUGGGCCUCAAGUCCUUCUUACUCGAAAACGAUUGAAUUUUUUACAUGUGGAGAUCACAUGUGGAGAUGUCUGGGUUUUGGACAUCUGGCGUCGCAACUUACUCGAAAACGAUUGAAUUUUUUACCAUAGCCUACACAUGUGUUAAUGUGAAACCUCGUAAAGUUUCGUGAUUUUUAGACCUCGUAUAGAUUUAAUAUAAUUUUAAAUCAAUUUUCUCAGAAGUGGCUAAUCAUGUCACACGUAAAAGAUGCGCGGAAUUUGAUUCCAGUUUGUGCGCAGGGACUCCACACACAUCAAAUAACAUGAAUAACAUUUUUUGAAAGACUACAGUUUAUUAUAUCAUGCACCUGCAGUUCAAAUUUAUAACAGCGGGAAAAUUACGACGAAUUAAAACAAAUUCAAGAAAUAUAUAUAAAAAAGUGAAAUUUGUGCCAAUUUUUAAAUUUGUGUUUAAAAUAUGUGAUUUGUGCCCACA
RNAcentral lists this long non-coding RNA (594 nucleotides) under Sorghum bicolor (sorghum). Its description in RNAcentral is "long non-coding RNA (SBIC_LNC008186)". Lineage: Eukaryota; Viridiplantae; Streptophyta; Magnoliopsida; Poales; Poaceae. The record is from RNAcentral.